GCCGGCGUGGCGGAACGGCUAACGCGCCUGCCUCGAGAGCAGGUCCCCUUCGGGGGUUGCAGGUUCGAAUCCUGCCGCCGGCG
This 83-nucleotide transfer RNA is filed under the name Candidatus Bathyarchaeota archaeon. RNAcentral describes it as "tRNA-Ser". It matches the Rfam family "tRNA". From Rfam's summary of the family: Transfer RNA (tRNA) molecules are approximately 80 nucleotides in length. Their secondary structure includes four short double-helical elements and three loops (D, anti-codon, and T loops). Further hydrogen bonds mediate the characteristic L-shaped molecular structure. tRNAs have two regions of fundamental functional importance: the anti-codon, which is responsible for specific mRNA codon recognition, and the 3' end, to which the tRNAs corresponding amino acid is attached (by aminoacyl-tRNA synthetases). tRNAs cope with the degeneracy of the genetic code in two manners: having more than one tRNA (with a specific anti-codon) for a particular amino acid; and 'wobble' base-pairing, i.e. permitting non-standard base-pairing at the 3rd anti-codon position. Lineage: Archaea; Thermoproteati; Candidatus Bathyarchaeota. RNAcentral also lists the same sequence under 2 other names. The record is from RNAcentral.